This 1292-nucleotide long non-coding RNA is filed under the name Panax ginseng (ginseng). RNAcentral describes it as "long non-coding RNA (PGIN_LNC018270)". The record is from RNAcentral. Lineage: Eukaryota; Viridiplantae; Streptophyta; Magnoliopsida; Apiales; Araliaceae.
GCACUUUCUCAUUCGGGGAGAAAAAAGAAUCUGCAUACCAAAAAUAAUUAUCUUGAUUUGACUUAGAUAUUUUUUUUCGUUUGGUCUUUGAUCCAAUUGGAAAUAUUCGCACUAUUAUAUCCUUUCGGUCCCAUUUAGUAAGGUAAUAUUGACUUUUACAUUUAAAUUGAUCAUUUUAGAAUUAAUACUUUAACGUUUUAAAAUCAAGAUCUACACAAUCAAAACUAUUUUAUUUAAACAGUAAUUUGACAUAUGUGAGUUGGACCGAGUUAGGAAGUACUAACAGUAAUUUCACGUGCAUAUCACAUGGCUUAAUCUAGUGUUCAUGCCGACGCUGCCUAUUAGUAUAAUUAGGACCGACUAAAAAAUGAAUAAAAUUGAAUUAUUGUCAAGUCGAAUUCAAUUUUUUUAACCAUAAUUUUCGAUUAUUCAACUAUUCGGUAUUCGGGUUUUAUUACCUAUCCUAACUAACUAUCCAUGAACAAAAUCGUGUCAUUAAUUUCCAUCUUUGUCGAUCUCUCCCGGCCGGCCCCUAGCCUGUAUAUAUAUGAAUAUAGAGAUUCCUACUAGAUACAUAACAAUAGGUAAUAUGGAUUCAAAACAUGAUGGCCGGAGCAUCAGAAAAAGAUUAAGCAAACAAAUAGAAAUGGAAAGGGAAGGAGAUUAAUAAUCACCGGAGCACAGCCACCACACGUACGAGAUAAAUAGAGAGAGCAGUUUUUUCGUGACAUGAUCAGUACCAAGCGCUCUCGGUCGGUCAUCUCUUGGGAUAUCUCAUCUUUUAAAGAGCCAAAGCUGCUAAUACUUGUAUAUAUGUCCGUCGUCCUGCAACACCCACAAUCACAAUGGCUAUAUUGUAUUAUAUAUGAGAUCAAUGACAGUACUGAUCAGUCUAGUACAAAAGUAGAGUCAGUGCUGCUACUUAUAUGUCAGCCCUGCUCCUGCAACACCACAAUCACGUACAAGCUAGCUAGCUAGCUCGAUCAUUUGCAAUCUAGUAUACAAGAGUAGAAGAAAAUUAUUCAAAGUACUGUAUUUGUUUGGGAAUUCAAAAUAAUAUCAGAAAAAAUAACUUUGACUCGAAUAAGGUUGAAGUAUUCCUAGACUAGACUAUUAAUUUAAGGUGAACCAAAGAGUUUAAUUAUAAGGUUGAAGUAUUCCUUCAUUAAUUUAAUCCUAAGCUUUUUCUCAAACACUUGAAUUGAUAAAGAUAAACAUGUUGGAGGAUUCAACUUGAUAUAUAUUAAUUGAUCCCAAACCACUUUUAUUCAAAAUUUCUCACUUGAUCACCC